Molecule: ribosomal RNA, 622 nt
Filed under: Rhodotorula mucilaginosa
Lineage: Eukaryota; Fungi; Basidiomycota; Microbotryomycetes; Sporidiobolales; Sporidiobolaceae
Description: eukaryotic LSU rRNA
Rfam family: 5.8S ribosomal RNA (bases 187-340)
Source: RNAcentral
CUUCCGUAGGGGGAACCUGCGGAAGGAUCAUUAGUGAAUAUAGGACGUCCAACUUAACUUGGAGUCCGAACUCUCACUUUCUAACCCUGUGCACUUGUUUGGGAUAGUAACUCUCGCAAGAGAGCGAACUCCUAUUCACUUAUAAACACAAAGUCUAUGAAUGUAUUAAAUUUUAUAACAAAAUAAAACUUUCAACAACGGAUCUCUUGGCUCUCGCAUCGAUGAAGAACGCAGCGAAAUGCGAUAAGUAAUGUGAAUUGCAGAAUUCAGUGAAUCAUCGAAUCUUUGAACGCACCUUGCGCUCCAUGGUAUUCCGUGGAGCAUGCCUGUUUGAGUGUCAUGAAUACUUCAACCCUCCUCUUUCUUAAUGAUUGAAGAGGUGUUUGGUUUCUGAGCGCUGCUGGCCUUUACGGUCUAGCUCGUUCGUAAUGCAUUAGCAUCCGCAAUCGAACUUCGGAUUGACUUGGCGUAAUAGACUAUUCGCUGAGGAAUUCUAGUCUUCGGAUUAGAGCCGGGUUGGGUUAAAGGAAGCUUCUAAUCAGAAUGUCUACAUUUUAAGAUUAGAUCUCAAAUCAGGUAGGACUACCCGCUGAACUUAAGCAUAUCAAUAAGCGGAGGAAAC